AUUUAUAUAGUUUAACUUAAAACACUUCAUUUUCAAUGAAAAAAUGAAAUAAAUUCUAUAAAUA
Molecule: transfer RNA, 64 nt
Filed under: Planusocoris schaeferi
Lineage: Eukaryota; Metazoa; Arthropoda; Insecta; Hemiptera; Alydidae
Description: tRNA-Glu
Source: RNAcentral